UAAGGAAUAUUGGUCAAUGGACGAAAGUCUGAACCAGCCAUGCCGCGUGGAGGAUGAAGGUCCUCUGGAUUGUAAACUUCUUUUAUAUGGGACGAAAAAAGGCUUUUCUAAGUCGUCUGACGGUACCAUAUGAAUAAGCACCGGCUAACUCCGUGCCAGCAGCCGCGGUAAUACGGAGGGUGCAAGCGUUAUCCGGAUUCACUGGGUUUAAAGGGUGCGUAGGUGGGUUGGUAAGUCAGUGGUGAAAUCCCCGAGCUUAACUUGGGAACUGCCAUUGAUACUAUCAGUCUUGAAUACCGUGGAGGUCAGCGGAAUAUGUCAUGUAGCGGUGAAAUGCUUAGAUAUGACAUAGAACACCAAUUGCGAAGGCAGCUGGCUACUCGAAUAUUGACACUGAGGCAC
RNAcentral lists this ribosomal RNA (402 nucleotides) under uncultured bacterium. RNAcentral describes it as "bacterial SSU rRNA". It matches the Rfam family "Bacterial small subunit ribosomal RNA", at positions 355 to 754 of the family's 1533-position model. The record is from RNAcentral.